Marmota monax (woodchuck) is the source of this 14836-nucleotide long non-coding RNA. RefSeq lists it as uncharacterized. The record is from RefSeq and is a predicted model, not a curated record. Lineage: Eukaryota; Metazoa; Chordata; Mammalia; Rodentia; Sciuridae. The transcript has 8 exons.
UCCCUCAGUGAAAGUGGGCUAACGUGGCGCUCCCCAUCGCCACCCCCCCCCCGUCGCCAUGUUUCCUGAACACAAAAUGGCGACACGUGGCCUGGAUUCGUCGCUCAGGAGAAAUUGGGGUCGCCCGAAAGCUCUAGAACGCGCCGCCUCUUGUUCACUGGGACUUCCCUGCGACGGGAGUCCUUAAGAUCCCUCCUGUAGGCUGGUCCGAAACGUGGCGGAAGAAGUUUAAUCCUCCCUCCUUUAAUUUGAAAGGAGAAUGUGAAUAAUAGUAAAAUAGGAAGACACUUAAGCCCAGAGAAAUGAAGUGAGCCAUUCAAAGUCAUACGUUGUCGGGGAUGGAAUCCAGACCUUCUGAUUUCUUUACUGAUCUGGAUUAACUUUUGAAUUCCACAUUACCCAUUUUAUGGAUGAAGCUCCUGAGAUAUGGAACAAUGGAUUGAAUAGUCACCGCCCCAACCCUGGAAUCUCACACAGGACUCUUCUCACUCAAAUGACCACAGGGUCUUGCUAAGUUGCUGUGGCUGGCCUUGAACUUGUGGUCCUCCUUCCUCAACCUCCCGAGUCGCUGGAAUUAUAGCAACAUCAAGGCAACAAGAUAUCAAGCAAAGAAGUCUCUUUUUCCUCCUCCUCCUGCUGGACACUGAAGAUUGUUUUUAUGUUGGAACUUUCAUUGCCCAGAAUGCAAGUUCAUAAAGGAGUGUCAAGUUUCAGCUGGAGGGAAGGUGGCCAGGACAGUUUUUCAGGGAAAUCUGACAGACACAUGAUGCUUUGAGUGAGUUUGUGUGUACAUAUUUUUUCUUUGGAGUAAAGCAUGGAAAAAGAGCUGAGUCCCACAUCUGGGACUGCUUAGAGCAGAGAGAAGAGACCAGCCUCAGGAGCUCGGUUGCCCUGACCCUACAGAAUGUAAGUCCCAUGCUGCUGGAGACCAUCUUGCCACCCUAAGGAGAAUACUGCCUAAGAAUGAAGGCAACACAGAUGACAGCUGAGCUGUGAGAUAGAGAAAACUGGAGAUCAGAUGGUGUCUUGAGUACCUGGAUGUAACCACGUGUUAAACUGGUGGAAUCCUGGACGCUUAUUUUGCGUGGACCUAGACUUUCCCUUUUUUUACCCCUUAUAGAAGUUUGAUUUGAAUCGUCACCUGCUGCCAGAAGUGUCUUAAUUAAUCCAUGUCAUAAAUGGUAUAUCAUUCUCUUACAGAGAAUAUGGCUGGUCACUCCAAACAUCAGCGGAAGUUGGGCGUCUCGGAGAAUAUCUGCCUUCCAGUUCCCAUCUUAUCUCCCAGUCUUUGAGCAAGGUAAGGAGUCCAUGGAAUUACCUGCUUUAGGAACAACUAAGGGCUGGGGGGUCAAUCCAAGACUAAAUUUCUGUCAAGAUCCACAAAGGAAGACUUCCUACCUGAAUUCAACUUGUGUUGACUCCUUUCCACCCACCCCAUGGAUAGAACCAUAAAGAGACAUCAACUUGACCACAGUAAUGUCAGGUACACUGGUCAUCCCCUUCUUUUCCUGAAGGAGAUGGCUCUUUUUGUCAUUAAAAUAUUUAAUGGUUUUCUACUUCCCAACACAUACAUGCUUGUAUGUGGUACUCAUAGUGUGUAUUUUUGGAGAUACUAAGUUGUUCACAGUUGGAAUAGAAUGAAUAGCAAAUUUAACUACAUUUAACUUUUACUCAUCCAACUAUACUGACAAAUUUGAGACACAGUAUUGUUUAUAUAUGUGAGACAUUUAUUUGGAUUACAAACAGAACAAGAUACGAAAUGAUGGAUCAUUUGGGUUAGCUCUAGUACCAGGGCUCAGAGCUAGACAACUAUCACCUGUUACUGCAUAUCCUUUACCCCUGGGGUCCCUUUUUUGUUCGUAAGAUCAUACUGAGAAAUGAGUUUGAGGAAUGGGCCAAGACAGGCAUAGGGUUAGGCCUCAGGACUUUACCUCUUUGCUGAAUUCUUCAGGCUGAAAUUGCCAGGAGCCAGGAGAGGGUAGGAUGUUGGGUGAGGUAGCAUGGCACCUGGAGCUAUUCUUUUCUUUCAACAGAGGAUGGGGGUAAGGAGGGGAGGCUCAGAGGGGGAAGAGGAGAAUAGGGAAGAAGGAAAGCAGUGAGUGAGGAGGGAAUUGUGGGAAGGGCUAAGUGAGGUGGGUGGUUUGCUACUCUUGAGGAGGUGAGAAGGGAUGUAUUGGCAGCCUGGUUCAGCCUUGGAGUAACCUGACUUCAGGGAACAGACCAGUCCCUCUGCUAUACUCUCAACAUCCUCUUUCCUUCCAAACAAGACUGACAAAGUCCAAGGUCCAAAGUUCCAACUCUUGUCAUAGAAGACCACAGCUGAGGAACGACUUACUAGUGCUUAACUACCUCGACAAGUGUGUAUUUUAAGAGGAAACUCCAGGAUAUUACCUCUAUUAUGACUUUAAGUAUUACUAAAACUAUUAUUUAUUCUCUAAUUGAUUUUGAUAAUUUUAAUUCUCAAAAAAGUCUUGAGGCUAUUAAUAUAGAAUUUUUUAUAGUUUCAUAUCUAUUGUAUUUUAUCUUUUUCAUUCCUAGUGUCACUUAUUUGAUGCUGUGGUCUUUUUUCAUAAUAAUUUUUGUUACUCAUCUGCCUCUUAAGAAAUCAGCUUUUGUUUUAGUCAUCUCUUAUUUGUCUUCUAUUUCCUUAACUUUUUUUGGAGGGGGGGUACCCAGGGGGGCUUAACCACUGACCAAUAUCCCCAGACCUUUUUAUAUUUUAUUUUGAAAGAGGGCCCCACUAAGUUGCUCAGGACUUCACUAAGUUGCUGAGGUUGGCUUUGAAUUGUGAUCCUCCUACCUCAGCCUCCCGAGCCUCUGGGAUUAUAGGCGUGCACCACAGCUUUUAUUUUUUAAUCACUUAAAUAUUUAUUCUGUAAUAAAAAAUAAUAUAGAGGGUCACUUUAUCUUAUAAAAUAAAAAGACUAAUAACCCAAAAGAAUGGAAAAAGUUUUUUAAAAAAAGAAGUCUACAUGGCUUAUAAACAUAAUGCAAAGAAUAAAGUAAAAAAUGCAUGUUUUAAUGGUAGACCUCCAGGCUUGAGUGGCAUUUUGUCUGCUGGGUACUAGGGAUUGAACCCAGGGGCGCUGAAGCACUGAGCCAUAUUCCCAGUCUAUUUUAUUUUUUAUUUUGAGACAGGGUCUCCAGUCUUGUUUAAUUGCUGAGGCUGGCUUUGAAUUGUGAUCAUCCUGCCUCAGCCUCCCAAGAUGCUGGGAUUACAGGCAUGUGCCACUGUGCUUUGCAAUUUAGGCAUCUUGUUGCCAGUGCCUGGUGAAGGGACCCCUGGACUUCAGACAGAAGGUGCCCCACUACAGCCCUCUCUUUUAUAUUUUGGUGUUUUCUCCCCUGUAAAUUGUAACUGAUUUUUAAAAAAAAAUGGCUCCACCUGCCUUUACUUCACUGUUGUAUCACAUCAGAUAUGGAAUGUGAAAAAGAUAAGACACCUGAACUCCUGUUUAAGCUCUGGCAUUAUUAUUCUCCCACUGGUGGGCUGCAGGCAGGGGUUGUGAACCCAGCCUAGCCUGGCAGAGCUACUUACCAGGCCUUGCCACUAUUGCUAGAGGAAAAUGAUUUUGAGGGUCUUAUUCUCUCUUUAGCUUGCUAUGCCUGAUGUCUUAUCUCUUCAACUAAGUUUGUUUGGGGAGUUUUAUAAUUCUGCAUUCAGUGAAGUAAAUGGAAGGGUAGGUGUGUUGAAAACAGGGUCCAAGAACUGGAAGACAGGAACAGAUAGUCUGCAUCAGAGGUUCUCAGAUGUUUUGCUCUUAGAAACAUUUUACUCCUCCCUUUUAGCUUUAUUGUGGUAUAAUUAAUAUACAAAAAAUAGCCCUCAUUUAAUGUGUACAUUUCAAAUUUGAACACAUGAAUACUCUUGCAAUUCUCUACCAACUAAGGUAGAGAAAAUGUAUCUAUUCCAAAAUUUUUCUUGUUUUCUUUUGUUUGUAUGUGGCUUUUUAGUGGGAGGGGUGAGAAACCUAAGAUGAUAUGUAUCCUCUAAACAUAUUUUAAAGUGCACAAUACUGUAUUGUCAAUUAUAUGGACAAUGUUGUAUGGCUCUGUUGUAUGAUAAAUCUCUAGAACUUAUUCACUGUGUAUAUAGAAGGGUUAAAAAAACAUGGUAUAAACAUACAGUAGAAUAUACAUACCAAAAUGACACACACACAUAUAAAAUUUAACAAUAAUCAUGCCAUCUACAACAACGUGGGUAAACCUAGAGGGCACUGUGCCAAGGGAAACAAGUCAGACACUGAAGGAAAAACACUGCAUGAUUCUACCCUUAUGAGGCAUAAGGAAGUGAAUAGAAUGGUGGCUAUCAGAAGGUGUGGGGAGGGAGUAAUAUGAAAUCAUUUUUCAAUGGUCAUCAAGUUUCCAUUAUAUAAUUUAAAAAAUUUAAUUGUGGUAGAAUAGAUUAUAAUAUAAAAUUUACCAUCUUCACUAUUUUAAGUGUACAGUUCAGUGGUAUUAAGUAUAUUUACUUUAUUGUGCAACCAUCACCACCAGCCAGCUCCAUAACUCUUCUCAUCUUAACUGAAACUAUACCCACCAAAUAACAACUCCCCUUUCUCCCCUCCCUCUUCUAACCACCUCCCAUACUGUCUAUUUCCAUGAAUCUUAUUAGACACCCCAAGUGUGUGGAACCAUAGAGUGCAUCUCUCCCUGUGACCAGCUACGUUACCCAGCACAGUGGUUUCAGGCUUCAUGUUGUAGCAUGUUUCAGAACUUCCUUCUUUAUAUGCCUAAACAACAUUCCAUUGUAUGUAUAUUCCAUAUUUUGCCCAUCUGUUCAUUCUUCGAUAACACUUGUACCUUGCUUGCUAUCGUGAUAAUGUUGCUGAAAGCAUGAGUGUACAAAUAUCCCCAGCCUUUUUUCUUAUUUAUUUUGAGACAGGGUCUCUCUUAAGUUCCCUAGGCUGCGCUCGAACUUGCUAUCCUCCUGCUUUAGCCUCCCGGGUUGCCGGAACUAUAGUUGUAUGUCACCAUGCCUGUCGAGUUAUUUGAAUAGUAACCACUUAUCAAUAAUUUGCAGAAAUAUUUUCCUAUUCUGUAGAUUGUCUCUUUCUUCUGUUUAUUGUUUCAUUUGCUCUGUCCUUUAGGGUUUUUUCCUACAUUUUUUAUUGGUGCAUUAUAGUCAUACAUAAUGGUGGGAUUUGUUACAUAUUUGUAAGUGCACACAGUAUAAUAAUUUGAUCAGUAUCACUCCCAAGUAUUUUCCCUUUCCCUCUCCCCUCCAUCCCCCUGGUACUUUUCCUCUAUUCCACUGAUCUCCUUUUGAUUUUCAUGAGAUCCUGCCUCCCACCAACCUUCUUUUCCACAAAUGUGAGAAAACAUACCACCCUUGAAUUUUGAGUCUGACUUAUUUUGGUUCACAUAGUUUCCUGCCAGUGACAUAAUUUCAUUCUUCUUUAUAAAAGCAUUUUGGUUUGAUGGAAUCCCAUGUGUCAAUUUUUGUUUUUGUUGCUGGUGCUUUUGGAGUCAUAUCCAGAAAAUCUUUGCCCAGACCAAUAUUGUGGGCUUUUUCCUUUUUGUUUACUUCUAGUUGUUUUGCAGUUUCAGGUCUUACAUUUGUCUUUAAUCCAUUUUGAGUUCAUUUUUGUGUGAGAUUAAGGUUUAAUUUCAUUCUUUGGCUUAUGUAUAUUCAAUUUUCCCAGUGCCAUUUAUUGAUGAAACUGUCUUUUCCCUGUUGUGUGUUCUUUUUUUUCUUUUUUUGUACUAGGGAUUGAGCCCAGAGAUGCUCUAUCACUACCACUGCACUGAAUCCCCAGCCCUUUUUUUUGUUGUUGAGAGAGAGGGUGUUGCUAAAUUGCCUAAGCUGACCUCAAAUUUGUGAUCCUUCUGCUGGGAUUAAAGGUGUGUGCUGGUGUUCCUGGCAACACAUAAUUGUUUUUCUUGAGGUGAAAGGCUCACUUCAUUCAUUUCCCUGAAAACAUCUGAAAGAUAUACGAGUAUGAAGAAGCAUAGUCUGUUAGUCCUUUAUACAAAAAUGAUGUUCCACAAAACAAAACAAAACAAACAAAAAAACAGGUAGUUCAGCUUGCAAAAACAAUUGUACAAGUUCUUCCUGGACUUCUGUUUUCAAAAUUGCUUUAUGAGCAGACUGUUAGCAAGACAGGUAAUUAAUAGUCCAGUUUUAAUAAAAUUAAUGGUUAUUAAAAUAUUAUCAUGGACUUUUGUGUGUGUGUGUGUGGUACUAGGGAUUGAACCCAGAGGUGCUUAACCACUGAGCCACAUCCCCAGUCCUUUUUAUUUUUUAUUUUGAAACAGGGUCUUGCUAAGUUGCUUAGAGUCUUGCUAAGUUGCUGAGGCUGGCCUGGAACUUCGAUCUUCCUGCCUUAGCCUCUUGAGUUGCUGAGAUUACAGGCAUGCACCACUGUACCUAGCUGUUAUGGACAUUCUUAUAUGAAACAACUUAAAAGUUUAAAAACUUCAACUAUGGUGGGUGAAGAGUAUGACUUUUAAGGAAGUUUUGUGCCAGUUUGGUGAUUUGGGUUACGGCCCCAUAAGUGUCACCCACUGUUGCUUCUACAACAUAAAGGCAAAUGUCCACAAAGUGAAUACUACAAAAACCUUUGGGAAUUAUUAUGAAAAUGGUCUUGACCUUAUGGACCUCCCUGGAAGGGUCUUGGGUACUCUACAAGUCAAGGGGAGGGAUCACAAUUUGAGAGCCACUGGUCUCUAUGACCAUAGACCUCGUUUGCAUUUGGCCUCUACCACUUUAGUCAGCCUCCCUGGGCCUUGGUUUUCUCUACUGCAAGUGAGGCCCUAGUUUUCGACCCUAUUGGACUCUAUUUUCUAGUCCUUGAAAAUGCUUCUCUCUUAAUUGUGAUACGACCUUGGCUUCUUUCCUUCUUCCAUGUCAUACCUGCUUUUUUCUCUUUUCUCCUGACUCCUCUUCAGCUCACCAAUUAAAGGUUGACAUCCCCAUUGUUUUACCUCCUCCUCCUCUCCCUGGGUGAUCUUAUCCCCUCUCUGGUUUUUAACCAUUACCUGCAGGCUGAGGGCUCCCAAAUCUCUUCUUUAAUCUAGAUGUUUAUCCUAAGCUCCAGUUUCAUCUUUCCACCUGGGACCUCUCUACCUGAAUGUACUAAAGGCAUGUCAAAGUCAGUCUAAAUUGAUUCCAGAAUCUUCUUCCCUUUCUCCACAUUGUCUCCUCUUCCAGAAUAGCCAGUUCUUGGUUUACUCCUCAUCUACUCAACUGCUGAAGCCAGAAGCCUAGGAGCCCUCCUUCCCUUAUCUGGCACCCUGGUUUAAUCACCCAGGUUUAUUAAUUCUGCCUCCCAAAUAUUUUCCCUAUGUCUCCCUGCUCUCCAUCUCCAUCACCACCACUUUAGGUUAGGCCUUCAUUACUUCUUACCUAAAUUAUUACAAGAGCCUUCUUCUUGGUCCCCUGCCACCCAUUUCCAACCUAGACUCCAAGGGUUGGAAACCAUAAGAGUGUCUCACAUUUUAUGUUUUAUUAAAUAAGUAUAUAUUGAGUACUUACCAUUGCAGGCACUGUGCAGGGUGCAGGAAUGCAACAGAGAACACAACAGACAUUGUUCCUUACCACCAGUACUCACAGCGUAUGGAGGAGGAGGGAAAAGUACAGGAUAUGGAUCAUUAAGAUGCAGUGCAAUGGGGAAAGAUGGAAUAGGUGCUUGGGAACUUCUAGAAGCAUAAGCUGAGAGCUGGCUGAGUCCCAGGGUGGUCAAGGAACACUUUCUGAAGGAAAAGAAUCUCACACUCAGACUGCUCAUUGGGUGGGAAUUAAGAGAAGUGGGAGUAUGGUAGUGAAAUGCUCUCUGAUAAAUUUGAUCAUCUCAUUUCCCUGCUAAACAGACCUCUUGAGCUUUUCCACUGCUGCAGGAUAAAGUCCGAAUUCUUUACCAUGGAAUACAACCAUUGUUGCCUCAUCUUCUACCACACCCUUUCAUUUACUGUAAUCAACCUAUGCUGCUUUCAGUUCCCCAAACCCCACACUCUUUCUCAGCUCCAGGCCUUUGCACAUUUGGUUUCCUCCACCCUUGCCAUCCAAUGUCCCAUAGCCUAUCUAUCAAGCUCUGAGUCACUGACAUCAGCUGUCUCAGGAGACCUUCCCUGAUCCCGCCCAUGUAGACUUUGUGGCUCCCUCUCUUGUGUUCCCUGCCUGUGCACACACCUGGACUCACGCACAUGUCACAUUGGUAGGGCUCAUCCACAUGUCUUUCUUGCUUCUGACUGCUAUUUCAGGAUCCCAGUUCAUGCUUAAUUCCCACACCCUCACCCCAAGAUCAUUUUGGUUGUUCCCAGGGUGUGUGUUUCCUGUGUCCUAGUGGACAACUUUAGAAAAUUAUUACCACCUCCCCCCCCAUCAUUUUCCUUCCUCCAGCUCUGCAACCUCCCUGUGCCCCUACCACACCCCAUGGAGUUAUCUGUUCUGCUGGACAUUGCCACACCCAUCAUGCACCUUACACCUGUAGGGAGUCAGCAGCAUGCCGGUUGACCUCACUGAAGCAGCAGUGCUGGGAGCUGUUGGUCCCCUGUUGCCUUGUAGAGCCAUGGACUUGGCCCGCAGAUAUAUCUAAUUCACAAAUACCAAUCUAUCUCAGAAUCAGCUCCUUCCCACUGAGCAAAGCUUCGUCUCUGUGUCAGCUCCUUGUGCCAGUUUCCCUCUUACCUUAGAAAGAGUUCUUUCUCAGAAGGUCUCUCAACUCCUCAUACAAAGAGGUUCCCAAGGGUUGCCCAUAAACGUGCUAGAAAGGGAUGUUGGCCUGCACCACCAUCUAUCACCAGCCUGAUGGCAAAGUAUGCGUGAAUAUUUAUUUAUUUAAAAUAAUAAAUUAGCUGGUGUGGUGGUGCACACUAGUAACCCCAACAACUUGGGAGGCUGAGGCUGGAGAAUCACAAGUUCAAGAAUAGCUUCAGCAACUUACUGAGACCCAGUCUCAGAAGAAAAAGCAAACAAGACUGGAAUGUAGCUCAGUGGUAGAGUACCCCUGGGUUCAAUCCCCAGUACCAAAAAAACAAAUACAAUAUUAAAUUAUAUAAGCAAUGCUGAAUACAGUUUCAUAGUUGAAAAGCCAAAUGGUUUAGAAAUAUAGAAUAAAAAGUUAAUGAUCCUCUUCCUCCCACCCCACAUCCAAAAGCCUAUCCUCCAAGUAGGCACUAUUAAUUAUUUGGUGGAAACAUUCAGACUUUUUGCUUUGCACUUACACAUAUGUGAGUCUGAGAUAAUAUUUGUGGAAUUGAUCUUUUUUCAUCCCUGAAUUUUCCCCUUUCUUGUCCUCACAUUCAUGGAGCUCAUCACUUCUGAACCUCUCUCCAGGUUAGAAAUCCAAAUCAGCUUUCAAGUAUCUCUGGCUUUUGUGUGCUGAAAGCUUAAGCAUUCUUUAGAGCAACCUCAAGAUUUUCUGAACAGCUUAUCAAAGGACAAGGGCUCUCUUGCAGAGAUUGAAUGCCUUGACUAGAAACAAGAUGGAAGAAUAAUUUGCUUUGGAGUAGAAAGACCUCCAACCCUUGUAAGCCCUCCCUUCUCCAGUCUGACUAAGGGCAGGAGACACAAGAGGAGAAAUGUCCCACCUUGUUUUCUACCUGUUCGCCUAGACAGGCAGUAAAAUCCCAAAGAGAGUUGACGUCAUGGUGAAGGCAGGACACAAGGUCACUGGCAACUUGAUCCAUGGUUCCUAAUUGCUCUGAAGAGGCACAUAGCAGCAGGGACUGCCAUACCUGGCCUCAGCCAGCCUCACCUUCACCUUUUCUAGCUUGUGCCUGGCUCUUCCAGCGUUCAGGAGAAUUUAGACACAUCUGACAUCAAGUCUCCUAUUGUCAGGACUGAAGCUUCCCAUAAGCAGUGAAUUGAGUUACAGGCACUAAAAUGUGAUUUCUUGCAUGCCUAAGUUUGUAAAUUAAGAUUCAGGUGUCAUGUACUGUUCAUAUUCUGCCACUUAAAAAUUAACGAUAUAUCUUAAAAAUUUCACACCAGUGGAAAAGUACAUGAGCACAUACUUUUAAAAAAGUUUUCAAAAGUUAGUGUUCAUGAUAAGAGAUUCAAACAGUAUCAAAGGAGAAAGCAGAAGUUCUUGAAUCCUCCGUUUCCUUUCCCUAGAUAUAACUAUUGUUAAAACCUUAGAAAAUUUCUUUGCAGAUUACGUCACAUAUCUAUUUAUUUACUAGCUUUUUUAUAUAAUAAUAAGCUCUUAACUCUAUAUACUUUUUGUGCAUAUAUUUUCUAUUAUAUAUAAUAGAAAUCUUUAUUUCUAUAUAAAUAUUUAUUUCUAUAUUUUAUUUAUUUCUCUAUAAAUAAAUAAAAGAUAAUAUUAUUUAUUACUCAUCAUUAAAUAGAUUCUAUUUAUCUAAGUAGAUGUAGUUCUACUUUAUUUCUUUCAAUGGCUGCCCAGUCUUCCCGUAGAUUGGAUGUGCCACAUGUAUUUAAUUAGUUGAUUGGCAUUUAAGUAUCCAGAUUUUUAGCUAUUACCAAUUAAGGGCACAAUGAACAGAAAAAUAGCUAGCAAUUGUUGACAACAGGUAUUGUUGUCAUGUGGUAAGCCAUAUAACCCUUGAAAUGUCCCAAUGAGAUAGGUUCUUUUAUUGCCCCUACUACACAAAUGAGGGAACUAAGUCACAAAAAGAUCAAUAAUUUCCACAAGGUUACACGUCUGGUAGGUGGAGGAUCUGGGACUUGCACCCAGGCAGUUGAGUCCCACUCCUGUACUCUAGAUCACAACACUACAGCCCCUCUGUAGACCCCGAGCACUUAUGCUGAUAUGUCCAUAUAAAAGGUCAAACUUUGUGCAUUUUACACUUUAAUAGUGUUAAAUGGUGGGGACAUUGUUUUAUGAGGAGAGCAAUGUGCUUCUUUCAUAAUCAAUUGUGGAGCCCACUUGUUUCCUGAGAACAGAGGGGUUGCUGCUGCCCCUGUGCCCAGAGGCCCCACUAAAUAAGAGCAUCCUCUCUUGCUGUGGUCAGGGCUUCAGCUCUGAAUUUUUUCUGGCUCUCUCCCUUUCAUACUGGACUGGGUUCCCAGGAGUCUUGGGAACCCGGCUCAUGCCCUUUAAGGCCAAGGCCACAGACUGCUAGAGGAGUUUUUCCCUUCUCUUUUCUCUGCACCUUCUUAGUUUCCUAAAGGUGAGGGUACCUUCCAACUGGAAGCCCUCUAUUCCCCAUUUUCCUAUUCUUUCUGCAAGAGGAGAAAAGGACAUCCACUUAGAGAAAUAGGUGCACCUCCCCACCUGCAGCUCCUACAUCUAACCACAAGGGGCCCACUGCAGGACCUCCAGGCCUUGAUGCUCACCAGACCUGCACAGAGGUGGGUGGUCACAAUGUGUGGCCUGGUUUCUUCAUGGCCUCUGCUUUUAUGGGAAUAUAUCAGUGGUUCUCCGACAAGAGAGAACCAACUCUCCCAACUCCCAACAGGGGACAUGUGGCAAUGUUUGGAGAUAUUUUUGGUUGUUACACUUGAUGGUAGUGGCGUGUGUGUGUGGCGUGUACAUGCCCAGGCAUGCACACACACACUCUUGGCGCCACACAUACACUACUGGCAUCUCCUGGGUAGGUCAGGAAUGCUGCUGAACAUCCUACAACAUACAGGACAGCGCCUACAACAAAGAACAAUACAGCCCCAAAUGAACCCUGGGCUAUGGGAGGGCAGACAGUACCCAGCACAUGGCUGCCCCCUGUGGCUUUGGAAUCAAUUUAAGUGAAGCCAAGAGGUGGGUGGCUGUGUGAAGGGCAGUGGCUGGAAGUAGUAGUUACACCCCAAUUUUUUUUUUUUUAUAAAGUCAGCGAAGUUUGUUUAUUUUUUUUUAUUAUUAUUUUUUAGUUAUCGGCGGACACAACAUCUUUGUUUUGUUUUGUUUGUAUGUGUUGCUGAGGAUCGAACCCAGGCCGCACGCGUGCCAGGCAAGCGCGCUACCACUUGAGCCACAUCCCCAGCCCCUGUUUUUUAUUUUAAAUAGAAAAUAGUAGACACUAUUUUCCUGUCAAAGAAUAGGAAGAUGGCUGGUGAAGUUUGGGGUGGGUAGUGGGAUAGAUAAGCAUUCCUUACCUGCAUUACAGACUAUUGAGAAAUUAAGGAUGUGGAAAACACUCCAAAAUUUACUAGAUAUGGCCCAGCUAGUCUCAAGCAAAAUGCCUGGAAUUAAAUGUUUUAUCAUUAACCAAAAAGAAGGGAAUUAAACUCCACAAGCUGGGAACUCAAGAAUGAAGACAAAGCAUAAGAAAACAAACUGAUGAAAACAAGAUAGAACAAACAAGAUAAAACAAAUUAAUGAAUUAGAAAACAGGAAAUCUGUUCAUUUUAAUAAAUACAUUGAAGACAAUAAAAUUAGAUACAAGUGGACCUGGAAAUGGAACAAAACAUCGAUUGAAGAAGCCACAGAGGAAGCUCUGUGUGAGUGUGUGUGUGUGUGUGUGUGUGUGAGGGGGGCACAAGGAGGAUGACAGACUUUACAACAUCGACAUGCACUUAUUUAACAUCAGUUUACUGAUCACAUGCUGUGUGCAAGGCACUUUUCUAAGCACUGGGAGCGUAACACUAACCAGAUGAAGAGCAAUGCCCUCAAUGCCAUUCUCAGCUCUAGUGAGCCUUGAGGUAAUGUCAGGUGGGAACCAGUAACAUCAGCUCAGCUAAGUCCCAAGGCUGGCCAAAGUGCCUGGAUCCCAAAAUGUAAGUUGAACAAACAAGAAAAUGCUGCAGCUCAGGUGAGAUGGUAAAGCAGGAGAUGAGAGGAAUUUAAACUUCUUUUCAGAAAGCCUGGAUCCAGAAGGCAGAAAAAGAACACAAAAACAUUAAUAUUUAUUUUUCAGUUUUAUUUUUUGAGAUGGGGUCAUGCUGUGUUACUGUGGCUUGUCCCAAACUCAUAAGUGAUCCUCUUGCCUCAGCCUCCUGAGUGCUGGGACUCCAGGCAUGUGCCAACCACACCUGGCUAGAAAAUUAAUAUUUAUUAAUGACCCCCAGGGAACCUAUCUACUCACCAGUGUGUCUGAAGGGCCAUGAGAUGGACUGACCAGCACCCAAUUACCCAAUCUCUUGAAACUAAGGACUUACUUUGGAGUGGGUCCCUCCUUCCCUCCCUUUCUGUUCCCUAUUCCAGGCCCCCAGGUAACAAGGAAUCUUUGCUAUGGAAAUUGGAGGCGUUUCCAGUUCCCAACCCUUAGGAGACUGUCUCUAUGGAAAUGGGACUCUCCCCAGGGGCCAUUGUGGAUCACCCCCAAACAGCCCUUGCCUGGUAGGCCUGUGGCAGCUGCCAUGUCUGGCUAGGCCAACUCAACAUCCUUGGAGGUCUGCUCAGAGCAGAGUUUCUGCAGAAAUGUUUCGUGGCCAGUUUCAAAGCACCGGGGAGAGCAGCUUGCCCUGUGUUGGCUGUGCGGCAUCUGUUUUCUCAGAAGCUGGAGAGAGCUCAGGGGACUCACAGGAAGACAUUUUCAACAUUAACAAUGGCCAACAUUUAUGUUGGUCCUCACUCCAUGCUUGGCAUGUUCUAAGUGCUUGACAUCCAUUAACUUAUUUAAUUCUGACAACUCUGUGUGACAUGUUCCAUUGCUGUGGUCCCAUUUUACAGGCCAGAAAGCUGAAUCCAGAGAUCAGAUACCUUGCCCAAAGUCCCAGUGGCGGGUAGGCCAAGCUUGGCAUUCAUAAAGCUCUUACAUGUGCUCAUGGCAAAUGCUCCAGGACUUCCCUCUCUGCUCCUUUUUGGACCUUGUGAACACCAGGAUGUGUUCAUAUCUGUAGAAGGGGAAAAAAGAAGCAGUUGCCCAAUUCUCUCUCCCUGAUUCUGACUCCCACUCCUUUUCCGAUGGCUUUUAUAUUUUUUUCCUGCAGAAGGCAUAACAAGUGAGCACUGAUUGCAGGGAUUUAGGACAACUGUGAGACUUGAGUUGUUGAAUUUGAAUGCGAGAGCCCUUCUGUACCUCCUGUAGGGAUUUCUGGGCCUAGAGGGUGAGCUGCUUGGAUAAUAGAUUGGCUUAGACUUGUCAUGAAACUCUGUCACUUAGGAGGACCAGAAGGACCUGGUGAGUCUGGGUGGGGACACAGGGACUUACGUACGGCUGUUCUGACCAUGUCCACAGUUUGGAUAAAGAGGAUGCUUCUCCAUGUGAGGCGUCCAACAGCCAAGACGUGAGGUUGUAGAUGGGAGAGGGUUGCAGAAGGAGUGGGCAUGGUCUGUUGGUCCAAAGCCAACUUUGCACUGGAAAUAAGGAAGAAACACUUAUCAGCUCAUUAAUUAUAGGAUGCAGUAGGAUUGGCUGUGCCUCUGGGUGUGGGGCAGUAACCUAAUGCUUUAAACAAACAGCCCUGUCACUCAACAAUAAUUAGCAGCAACAAUAAGCAUCUUCAUAGAACUAGAUUGAUAGGUGGCCGACAACACACAGCCCCAAGCCUGGCCUAGAACUGGGCUUGGUUGCCACACCUGUGGAGCCAGCCAGUGGUUUGGCCAGCCUACAGGAGCAUGCACAGAAGUGAUACAUUCUUUCUUCUUCUGCUGUUUGCUGAUAACUUGUUCUGUAGGAGGCACUGAGAGGAAGGAAAUGUGAGAUUUAGCAACAUUCUAGUGAAUUGAGGAGUCAAGAUUAAUCUUGAAAAGUUAAACAGCAGCACAAGAAAUAUUGUAUAUGUCAAAAUACAGAGUGUGAGUGCUCAGGGCCAAGUAGGACUUAGAGGCAGACUCUCCACCAGAUGAAAGGUGAGGUGGACUUGUGGUGGGGUCUGCAUUCCCUGUGAGAUUUCUGCCAGGACACACUGCAAUGCUUCUUCUCAAGAAGUAGGAAACACAGGAAGAAAUUUUUCAGAUUGUACAUAUUGUUCUGUGAUUUGCUUUUCAUGCUUAUCAAUAUGUUGUGAACAUUCUUUCUUGUUCAUAAAUAAACUUCUUAUGAAUCUCUCAUA